Molecule: long non-coding RNA, 436 nt
Organism: Protobothrops mucrosquamatus (brown spotted pit viper)
Lineage: Eukaryota; Metazoa; Chordata; Lepidosauria; Squamata; Viperidae
Exons: 2
Source: RefSeq, a predicted model, not a curated record
UAGUCAACCCCAGCCGCGAGGGGAAAGCAGGGCGCAGAGAAUAUUGGCUCCAGCGCUGCGACUCCUGUUUUCCAGCUCUUGAAGAAGAUGAGCUCCAGUGACACCCCACUGGGCACGGUGGCUUUGCUCCAGGAGAAGCAGAAAGCUCAGAAGACGCCGUACAUCGUGCUCAGCGGUAGCGGGAAGAGCAUGAAUGCAAACACCAUCACCAAGUGAAGCACCGGCUUCCUGUUGUCGGUGGGAACGCUUUGGACGCAGUUGUGCUUGCGGGAUGUGCAAGGAUUGUCUCCAUCUGUCGCUUCCGGUGGGAGUCUCGUCCACCUAACCCUGCACUCACCGCUCUUCUGUGUACAUAGUUGUGGGGCUGAGUUUUUAAGCAACUUUUUAUAUCCCUGUGUGAAACCAAAUCGCUGUAAUAAAAAUAGCUGAGACCUCA